CAAUGCCUCUGCAGUGCAGC
Molecule: microRNA, 20 nt
Filed under: Alligator mississippiensis (American alligator)
Lineage: Eukaryota; Metazoa; Chordata; Crocodylia; Alligatoridae
Description: ami-miR-33-2-3p
Gene: ami-miR-33-2-3p
Source: miRBase by way of RNAcentral